AGGAAAGAAACAGAAUAGCAGGGGACGAAAUAGAGAAGGGAGAAAGGAAGAAAAGAAAAAGGGAAAAAUAAGGUUUUAAAGGUUCCAAGUUAAUUUGGUAAGUCAAUUUAACCCCUUUUCUUAUGAUUUUUGAGUUUUUGGAAUCCUAGAGAUAAAUACUACUUGUUUUAAGUGGAAAUUUUGAAAGUUAUGAGAUUUCUAAGCAUGGUUCAUGUUGAAGAAAAAGAUAAAUUAAGGAUGGAAUUGAAUAAAUUUUAAGUUAGAAUUAAUAAAGGAUUAAAUUGUAAGUUAAGCUAUAAGUUUUGUAUUAGAGGGAUUAAAUUAAAAGAAAUUUUAAAUUAGAGUUAUAUUAUGAAUACUUGAUAGUUAGGAUGAAUAUGGAAGAAAAUGAAUAGAAUUGAAGUAUGAAAUAAAUAUAUGAAUUUUCGACUAGCAAGAGUUUUAUUGGGUUUUUCACACAGGAAGAAAAAAAAGAGAAAAGAACUAAGUUAUCCGGAUGAAAUAUGAAGCUCUUGUUGAAACUAGAGUAAUAAAGUAAUAUAUUCGGAUGAAACAUAAAGUUCUUGAUGAAGCCAGAACAACAAAGUAAUAAUUCCGGAUAAAGUAUGAAGAAAAUUUGGGAGUUGCAACCAAACGAACAUUAGGCAUAAAUUGAGUAGAAAUUUAAUUAAUUAUUUAAAUUAAUGUUGUAAUUAAUAAUGUAUAUUGUUAUGAUUUUUAGCUAACAAGGAAAACGAGGCAUCGGCAUCUAAAGGAAAAGAAAAGAUCGUUGAUGAGUUAGCUCGAGAAAAUAUGGUUUGUAUUUCUAUAAUCCGAACUCAGUCAUUAUUUGUUAUAUUUAUAUACAUAUGACAAUUGUUAGUGUUAGAAUUAUGAUGUUUUACAAUUGAAAUGGAUUGAUUUUGGUAUGUGAUGAAUUUAUCAAAUUUAUAUUGAAUGAAAUCAUUUUGAUUGAAUUUAUAUUGAUUGAAAUAUAUAAUAAUAUAUGAUUUAUGUAAAAAUUUGAAUAUUGAAUGAAUGUUAUAUUGAAAAAUUAUAUUGAUUGGAAAUAUGAGGAAAUUGAUAUGGAUAUAUGAGAUUGUGAUAUUUGAAUAUUUGAUAUUGAAAAGUGAAUUGAAUUGUAUUGAAUUAUGAAUUAAUGUGAAUAAUUGAAAUAUAUUUGUUGAAUUGAAUGAAAUUGUAUGAAUUGUGAAAAUGGAUGAAUAUAUGUGAUUAUCAGAAUGGUAUAUUGAUGAAAUAAUUAUUAAAUUGAGAAAAUGAAUGAAAUACCCUAUUAACUAGUCGGACUGAGUCGGAUAUAAUUGGCAUGUCAUAGGAUUUGAAAGUGUAUGGGAUUUGCCGGCUUUACCGAUCAGGCACUUUAUGCAUCGUAUUUUAGGCACCUCGUGUGUCGUGUCAGGCACCUCGUGUGUCGUUUUAGGCACUUUAUGUGUUGUAUACUGAUCAGGUACUAUGUAUCGUUUUAGGUACAAUGUGCCGUAUUGGUGUGUUUGGGUUGGAAUCCGUGUAUCCGUCAAAGUCCGGGUUUGUUAAUAGGGGUAAAUAAGUGAAAAGAUAAAUCGAGUGAAUUUGAUUGAUUGAGCUAUUGGAAUGAAAUGAGAAAUUGAAUUGAGAAUUGAAAUUUAGAUAUGAGAUUGAAAAUAUGAACCAAAGGUUCAUGAAAUGAUUGGAGUUCGAAUUGAUGAUAUAUGAUGCCACUUGAUGAAUUGAAAUGUGAUUUGAGAUAUAUGAAUCAUAUGUAUAUAGUGAAAGCUAUCAGAGAUAGUAAGUUGAUAUGAAAUAAAUAAAAUUGACUGUUAUUGAAAUGAAUUAAAAUGGAAUAUAAUUGAUAAAUGCAUAGUUGAAUAUAGUUUAUUGAUAUUGAAUUGUGAAUAAAUUAAGGAAAGCUAUACCGAAUAGUAAGAGAAGAAUGAAGUAAAUAAUAAUGGAUUUAUUUAAGAAUUGAACAAUUAUGUUAUUGUGAUUAUUAUAUGAUUUGUAUAAAAUUUAUAUGGUAAGUAGUUGAAAUUUAUCUAUGAAAUAAAUAAUUGAAUAAUUGUAAUUGUUAUUAUGAUCUUAAGUAUUUGUUUUAUUAUUAAAUGUUCAGAUUAUAGAAAUACCACUGAGUAUACCAUACUCGGCGUACGGUUUGUUUCAGUGCGCAGGUUAAGUAAAGAUAGGACGUUGAAUCAGCAUCUCAGGCCGAUCCCGAAUUCAAUGAGGUAAAGUGUGUUAAUUAUGGGUAAUGGUAUGUACCUAGGAUGCCUUGUGUGUGUGUCAUUUUGAAAUUGUAAAUGUAAGGAUGAAAUAAAUAAAUUUAGGUUUGGUUAUGGUAUAAAAUAGGAUUUGACUAAUUUGGUAUGAAUUUGAAUUUUUGUGAGACAAUAUCAGAUUGAUUUUGGAAUUCCCUAUUCUGAAUUGGAAAAAUCAUUAAAAAUUGUAUAAAAAUAAUUACGG
This 2436-nucleotide long non-coding RNA is filed under the name Gossypium barbadense (sea-island cotton). Its description in RNAcentral is "long non-coding RNA (GBAR_LNC000876)". Lineage: Eukaryota; Viridiplantae; Streptophyta; Magnoliopsida; Malvales; Malvaceae. The record is from RNAcentral.